AUGAAUAAAAAAUCCCGUCCAAGACCCUUUUACUCAACUGCAGAUAUUGCAAUUGUGACCUGAGCUUCGCAAUUGCAAAGCUCGCAAAUACAAAGAACUAUCGCAAUUGAAAAGUUCUCCACACUUCUGUUUCUAUCGCAAUUUCGAAGGUAAUGAUCGCAAUUGCGAUUAGGGACCUCUGCAAAUGCGACAAAAAAGACCGCGUUUGUGAUCACUCCCUUCCCAGAGUUUCUUCGCAAAUGCGAAGGUAUGUUCUCAAUUGCGAACUAUGUUGGCCCAGGUCUUCUUCGCAAUUGCGAUAAAGACCUAGCAAUUUCCAUGACUGUGAAGCUCGCAAAUGCUUGAUCUCGCAAUUUGCAAGAUCAGAGGCCUACUAUAGGUAUCAGCUGCAACAGUAGAUUUCUAAGUUCAAACUCACUCUGUAGCCUAUCCAAAACUUGCCCGAGCCCUGGGGGCUCCAAACUAAACAUGCGCACAAGCCUUAAAACGCCAUAAGAACUCGCUCAUGUGAUCAAAUUACCAAAAAACACCUAGAACUAUGAAUUCAACACCAAAACACAUGAAAUUUUCAAAAUAGUUUCAAACUUCCUAUUUUCUUAACCAAAGGUCCGAAUCACGUCAAUUCACUUCCAUUUUCACCAAAUUUCACAGAUAAGGUUCAACAAUUAUAACAAACCUCUACCGGGUUUGAACCAAAAUACGGGCCCGAUACCAACAAGUCCAAACAUUAUUCAAUUUUCAUAAACUAUUAUAUUUCCAGUUUAACAAUUUUCUUCAAUAAUUUAUUUCUCGGGCUAGGGACCUCGAAAUUUAAUUCCAGCAUACGCCCAAGUCUCAUAUUUUACCACGGACCCUACUGGACCGUCAAAUCACGAGUCUAGGUCUGUUUACAUAAAGUGUUGACUGAAGUCAACUUAAAUUAAUUUUAAAGGCAAACCUCAAUAUGUUUCUCAAAUUUUCAUAUAAGGCUUUCCAGAAGCACGCCCGGCUAUGUACGCAAAUCGAUGAGAAAGAAAAUAAGGUUUUCAAGGCCUCAGAACAAGGAAUCGGAUUCUAAAAUGAAAGAUGACCCUUUGAGUCAUCAUAGGAAUGCCCUCAAUGCAUGGAUAUCCUUAGGUGGCAACCAAUCUGCGACAACCUGAAUCUUCUGUUGGUCCAUCUUGAUUUGUCCUUCUCCUUCCUCGAUGACAUGUCAAUCUAUUUCUGGGUGAAUGAUCACUUAGAUAGAUUCACAUAUAAUUCGUGCUUCCGAAGUCGAGCUAAGACCUUCCACAUGUCUCCUAUUAUUUGACAAGUGUGGGUUUUGACCACUUAUUAGUACCUUGUUGCUUUAAUUUUAGUCCGAAAACAGUGAUUUUAUUUCCAAAUAUAAUAAAAUUGUGUGAAUUACACGCAUGUUGGAUGAUUGGAGCUCAAUGAAAAAAUCUAAUUCAAAAAGAAGUAUUACAUCUCAACAAGGCAAAAAGGAGAAAUGCAAGAAGAAGUGUGGUCUGCAGAUAAUCAUGCGGUCCGUAGAAAUAAGUGCGGCCACAGAUGAAGCCUUGAAGUCUCUGAGGAGUUUUGUAGAAGAGUGGUCCACAGUCCAAAUUAUGCAUUUUGCGGGUUGCAUUGAUAAAGUUUGAUAAGUUCAGAGAAGGUGAAGAAUGCGAAGUGUGAAGCCUCAUGAGAAUGCGGUCCACAAUCAAAAUGUGUGGCUGCAGAAGCUGAAGUGCAGGCACCGAGAUAAUUAUGCAGCCGCAGAUUUCCUCCUAAUGCAAAAGAAGAAAAAUGUCUGGUCCGCACAAGAAACUUUGUGGUCGCAGAACCUCGCGCAGGGCAUUUUUAUCAACAAAAUUGUAGACACUAUUAAUAGUCGAGAAAUACCAAUUUAUGGCAACUUUUG
RNAcentral lists this long non-coding RNA (1882 nucleotides) under Nicotiana benthamiana. Its description in RNAcentral is "long non-coding RNA (NBEN_LNC015951)". Lineage: Eukaryota; Viridiplantae; Streptophyta; Magnoliopsida; Solanales; Solanaceae. The record is from RNAcentral.